This 495-nucleotide ribosomal RNA is filed under the name uncultured bacterium. RNAcentral describes it as "partial 16S ribosomal RNA". It matches the Rfam family "Bacterial small subunit ribosomal RNA", at positions 30 to 507 of the family's 1533-position model. The record is from RNAcentral.
UGAACGCUGGCGGCGUGCCUAAUACAUGCAAGUCGAGCGAACGGACGAGAAGCUUGCUUCUCUGAUGUUAGCGGCGGACGGGUGAGUAACACGUGGAUAACCUACCUAUAAGACUGGGAUAACUUCGGGAAACCGGAGCUAAUACCGGAUGAUAUUUUGAACCGCAUGGUUCAAAAGUGAAAGACGGUCUUGCUGUCACUUAUAGAUGGAUCCGCGCUGCAUUAGCUAGUUGGUAAGGUAACGGCUUACCAAGGCAACGAUGCAUAGCCGACCUGAGAGGGUGAUCGGCCACACUGGAACUGAGACACGGUCCAGACUCCUACGGGAGGCAGCAGUAGGGAAUCUUCCGCAAUGGGCGAAAGCCUGACGGAGCAACGCCGCGCGAGUGAUGAAGGUCUUCGGAUCGUAAAACUCUGUUAUUAGGGAAGAACAUAUGUGUAAGUAACUGUGCACAUCUUGACGGUACCUAAUCAGAAAGCCACGGCUAACUACGUG